RNAcentral lists this ribosomal RNA (254 nucleotides) under uncultured bacterium. Its description in RNAcentral is "partial 16S ribosomal RNA". It matches the Rfam family "Bacterial small subunit ribosomal RNA", at positions 524 to 776 of the family's 1533-position model. The record is from RNAcentral.
UACGUAGGGGGCAAGCGUUGUCCGGAAUCAUUGGGCGUAAAGAGCGUGUAGGCGGCCAGAAAAGUCCGCUGUGAAAACUCGAGGCUCAACUUCGAGCUGUCGGUGGAAACUUUCUGGCUAGAGUCCGGAAGAGGAGAAUGGAAUUCCUGGUGUAGCGGUGAAAUGCGCAGAUAUCAGGAAGAACACCCGUGGCGAAGGCGGUUCUCUGGGACGGUACUGACGCUGGAGACGCGAAAGCGUGGGGAGCAAACAGG